This 506-nucleotide ribosomal RNA is filed under the name uncultured bacterium. RNAcentral describes it as "partial 16S ribosomal RNA". It matches the Rfam family "Bacterial small subunit ribosomal RNA", at positions 28 to 523 of the family's 1533-position model. The record is from RNAcentral.
GAUGAACGCUAGCUACAGGCUUAACACAUGCAAGUCGAGGGGUAACGAGAGGAAAGCUUGCUUUCCUUGUCGACGACCGGCGCACGGGUGAGUAACGCGUAUCCAAUCUGCCCCCAACUAGGGAAUAACCUUGCGAAAGUAAGACUAAUACCCUAUAAUUUCCUCAGAUGUCAUCUGACGAGGAAUAAAGAUUUAUCGGUUGUGGAUGGGGAUGCGUCUGAUUAGCUUGUUGGCGGGGUAACGGCCCACCAAGGCAACGAUCAGUAGGGGUUCUGAGGGGAAGGUACCCCACAUUGGAACUGAGACACGGUCCAAACUCCUACGGGAGGCAGCAGUGAGGAAUAUUGGUCAAUGGGCGGAAGCCUGAACCAGCCAAGUAGCGUGCAGGAUGACGGCCCUAUGGGUUGUAAACUGCUUUUAUACAGGAAUAAAGUUAGCCACGUGUGGUUAUUUGCAGGUACUGUAUGAAUAAGGACCGGCUAAUUCCGUGCCAGCAGCCGCCGUAA